UACGACUACAUAUCAGGCAUAUCAAUAAGCGGAGGAAAAGAAACUAACUAGGAUUCCCUUAGUAACGGCGAGUGAAGCGGGAAGAGCUCAAAUUUGAAAUCUUCAAGGUUCUACCUUGACGAAUUGUAGUUUAAAGAAGUGUUUUCUGUUGGAGUUUUGGUAAAAGUUCUUUGGAAUAGGACAUCAUAGAGGGUGAGAAUCCCGUAUUUGACCAUUUCUUCCAGCUGUGUGAUACACUUUCAAAGAGUCGGAUUGUUUGGGAAUGCAGUCCAAAAUGGGUGGUAAAUUUCGUCUAAAGCUAAAUAUUGGCGAGAGACCGAUAGCGAACAAGUACCGUGAGGGAAAGAUGAAAAGAACUUUGAAAAGAGAGUUAAACAGUACGUGAAAUUGUCAAAAGGGAAGCGUUUGACACCAGUGUUGUUUUCUCGAAAAUCAAUUAAAAAUGACCGGAUUUUGUGUUGUAUUGACUUUAUCAGCUUUCUGCACUUUUUUCUUGUCUUUUUUAAUGCACUUUUCGUUUAACAAGUCAACAUCAAUUUCUUUUGUUGUAAAAGAGUCAUUGGAAGGUGGCUUUCACUUCGGUGAAAGUGUUUAUAGCCUUUGACUUCUGCAAUCGGAGAGAUUGAGGUCUGCAGCGUAGAUCCUUCGGGGUUAGAUACAUUAGAUGCUAAGUUAUAGUUUUUCAUAGACAACAUUGUUGACUAUGAUUAAUCAUGUAGCUUACUCGUUAUGCCUAAUUCUACCUACGCUUAGGAUGUUGACGCGCGUGUGUGCGUG
Molecule: ribosomal RNA, 777 nt
Filed under: uncultured Neocallimastigales
Lineage: Eukaryota; Fungi; Neocallimastigomycota; Neocallimastigomycetes; Neocallimastigales
Description: partial large subunit ribosomal RNA
Rfam family: Eukaryotic large subunit ribosomal RNA
Source: RNAcentral